CCUACGGGAUGCAGCAGUGAGGAAUAUUGGUCAAUGGGCGCGAGCCUGAACCAGCCAAGUCGCGUGAAGGAAGACGGUCCUAUGGAUUGUAAACCUCUUUUGUCGGGGAGCAAAAGCCGCCACGCGUGGCGUUCCGAGAGUACCCGAAGAGAAAGCAGCGGCUAACUUCGUGCAGGCAGCCGCGGUAAUACGGAGGAUGUGAGCGUUAUCCGGAUUUAUUGUGUUUAAAGGGUGCGCAGGCGGAAGAUCAGGUCAGCGGUAAAAUUGAGAGGCUCAACCUCUUCGAGCAGUUGAAACUGGUUUUCUUGAGUGAGUGAGAAGUAUGCGGAAUGCGUGGUGGAGCGGUGAAAUGCAUAGAUAUCACGCAGAACUCCGAUUGCGAAGGCAGCAUACCGGCGCUCAACUGACGCUCAUGCACGAAAGUGUGGGUAUCGAACAGGAUUAGAUACCCGGGUAGUC
RNAcentral lists this ribosomal RNA (459 nucleotides) under uncultured bacterium. RNAcentral describes it as "partial 16S ribosomal RNA". It matches the Rfam family "Bacterial small subunit ribosomal RNA", at positions 338 to 795 of the family's 1533-position model. The record is from RNAcentral.